UGUUAGACACAGGAGGCAGCUAGGCGG
RNAcentral lists this small RNA (27 nucleotides) under Bombyx mori (domestic silkworm). Its description in RNAcentral is "ovarian small RNA-36022". Lineage: Eukaryota; Metazoa; Arthropoda; Insecta; Lepidoptera; Bombycidae. The record is from RNAcentral.